UACGUAGGGUGCGAGCGUUAAUCGGAAUUACUGGGCGUAAAGCGUGCGCAGGCGGUGAUGUAAGACAGAUGUGAAAUCCCCGGGCUCAACCUGGGAACUGCAUUUGUGACUGCAUCGCUGGAGUGCGGCAGAGGGGGAUGGAAUUCCGCGUGUAGCAGUGAAAUGCGUAGAUAUGCGGAGGAACACCGAUGGCGGAAGGCAGCCCCCUGGGCUAACACU
RNAcentral lists this ribosomal RNA (219 nucleotides) under uncultured bacterium. Its description in RNAcentral is "partial 16S ribosomal RNA". It matches the Rfam family "Bacterial small subunit ribosomal RNA", at positions 524 to 741 of the family's 1533-position model. The record is from RNAcentral.